UACGUAGGGUGCAAGCGUUAAUCGGAAUUACUGGGCGUAAAGCGUGCGCAGGCGGUGAUGUAAGACAGAUGUGAAAUCCCCGGGCUCAACCUGGGAACUGCAUUUGUGACUGCAUCGCUGGAGUGCGGCAGAGGGGGAUGGAAUUCCGCGUGUAGCAGUGAAAUGCGUAGAUAUGCGGAGGAACACCGAUGGCGAAGGACAAUCCCCUGGGCCUGCACUGACGCUCAUGCACGAAAGCGUGGGGAGCAAACAGGAUUAGAU
Molecule: ribosomal RNA, 261 nt
Filed under: uncultured bacterium
Lineage: Bacteria
Description: partial 16S ribosomal RNA
Rfam family: Bacterial small subunit ribosomal RNA
Source: RNAcentral